AUUGAACGCUGGCGGCAUGCCUUACACAUGCAAGUCGAACGGUAACAGGUCUUCGGAUGCUGACGAGUGGCGAACGGGUGAGUAAUACAUCGGAACGUGCCUAGUAGUGGGGAUAACUACUCGAAAGAGUGGCUAAUACCGCAUGAGAUCUACGGAUGAAAGCAGGGGAUCGCCAGACCUUGUGCUACUAGAGCGGCCGAUGGCAGAUUAGGGAGUUGGUGGGAUAAAAGCUUACCAAGCCGACGAUCUGUAGCGGGUCUGAGAGGACGAUCAGCCACACUGGGACUGAGACACGGCCCAGACUCCUACGGGAGGCAGCAGUGGGGAAUUUUGGACAAUGGGCGAAAGCCUGAUCCAGCAAUGCCGCGUGCAGGAUGAAGGCCUUCGGGUUGUAAACUGCUUUUGUACGGAACGAAAAGCCCCGGGUUAAUACCCUGGGGUCAUGACGGUACCGUAAGAAUGAGCACCGGCUAACUACGUGCCAGCCGCCGCAGUAA
Molecule: ribosomal RNA, 497 nt
Filed under: uncultured bacterium
Lineage: Bacteria
Description: partial 16S ribosomal RNA
Rfam family: Bacterial small subunit ribosomal RNA
Source: RNAcentral